AUUGAACGCUGGCGGCAGGCCUAACACAUGCAAGUCGAACGGUAACAGGAAGACGCUUGCUUCUUUGCUGACGAGAGGCGGACGGGAGAGUAAUGUCCGGGAAACUGCCUGAUGGAGGGGGAUAACUACUGGAAACGGUAGCUACUACCGCAUAACGUCGCAAGACCAAAGAGGGGGAGCUUCGGGCCUCUUGCCAUCGGAUGUGCCCAGGUGGGAUUAGCUAGUAGGUGGGGUAACGGCUCACCUAGGCGACGAUCCCUAGCUGGUCUGAGAGGAUGACCAGCCACACUGGAACUGAGACACGGUCCAGACUCCUACGGGAGGCAGCAGUGGGGAAUAUUGGACAAUGGGCGCAAGCCUGAUGCAGCCAUGCCGCGUGUAUGAAGAAGGCCUUCGGGUUGUAAAGUACUUUCAGCGGGGAGGAAGGGAGUAAAGUUAAUACCUGUGCUUAUUGACGGUACCCGCAGAAGAAGCACCGGCUAACUCCGUG
Molecule: ribosomal RNA, 490 nt
Filed under: uncultured bacterium
Lineage: Bacteria
Description: partial 16S ribosomal RNA
Rfam family: Bacterial small subunit ribosomal RNA
Source: RNAcentral